AACAAUAACUUCAUCUUGGAGCUGCAUCAAUUCGACAUUACAAUGUCAAGAGGUUCACUAGCCACAUUUCACCAGCAAAUACAACGUCAAGUAUUAGUGCAUAAAAGAUAAACCUUAGAGUAGAGAGCUCAAAUUAUUUCAGUUUGUAACUAUUUGUACAAUUGCAAACCACAGAAAAACAACAACAGGCUAGCCACUUCCGCCUGAAUAAGCUUGUAAUCUUGACCUUCUCAGUACAUUUUUCACCAUCUCAAUAUAUAAAAUCUUGAUCUUGAACUCAGGAAGCCUUGAAGCAUUCAUUUUAUCCCAAUGGUACUCAACAGAAACAUAUGUUUUGUGUUUUUAGCCACUCUUUCAACUGAUAGUUUGCAUGUGGUUGGCUUACUAGCUAAAUUUUUAGUCUUUCCAUUGAAGAUUGGUACAAAAACCUUGAAAC
This 436-nucleotide unclassified non-coding RNA is filed under the name Hevea brasiliensis (rubber tree). The record is from RNAcentral. Lineage: Eukaryota; Viridiplantae; Streptophyta; Magnoliopsida; Malpighiales; Euphorbiaceae.